GUGUUAAUAAGUUUUUUCUUUAUCUUGUCUUCUGUCGACGCAGCCCUCGGGUUGAAUUUUGUGGGUACAGUAUUCCUCAUCCAUCAGAAAACAAGGUUAACAUAAGAGUUCAAACUACAGGUGAUUCUGCAAAGGAUGUGCUGAAAGAAUCUUUCCAAGAUCUGAUUUUAUUAUGCCAGCAUGUGAGGUCUACAUUU
This is a long non-coding RNA of Dendrobium catenatum, 197 nucleotides long. RefSeq lists it as uncharacterized. The record is from RefSeq and is a predicted model, not a curated record. The transcript is spliced from 2 exons. NCBI's taxonomy places the organism in Eukaryota, Viridiplantae, Streptophyta, Magnoliopsida, Asparagales, Orchidaceae.